AGGAGAUUCCCAAAGGCAACUUCUCAAUGAAACUGAGGGAUAUAAAAACUGAAGACAGAGGGGAAUUCAUGUGCACAGUCCAUACAGAUAGAGAAUCAGUCAAUGCAACAGCCUGGCUACAAGAACAGGGUUUUUCCACCUUACAUUGGUGUGUCCUGGGUUUAACCAUGGCUGCUGCAGUUUUUGCAGUUUUAAGCUGCAUUCCUGCUGUUUGGUGGAUAAAAAAAGCACAAAAAGAAAAACGAGAAAAAGAAAAAAAAAAGAAAGUUGAAAGCAAAGGGACUGUGUUGCUAUUUUGCCUUCAAGUCUCCGUUCCCUGCAUCUUGUUAUCCAUCGCCUUCGCCAUAUGGGGUAAAAUUGAGAGCUCUGUUGGAGAGGCCUAUGUUUGCAGUACUCUAAAUCUUGUGAGGAUCCUAGUGAUAUUUAAGGUGGCUCCAUAUGUACUUCCUGG
Molecule: long non-coding RNA, 451 nt
Organism: Conger conger (European conger)
Lineage: Eukaryota; Metazoa; Chordata; Actinopteri; Anguilliformes; Congridae
Exons: 4
Source: RefSeq, a predicted model, not a curated record